CGGCACGGGUGAGUAACACGUAUCCAACCUGCCGUCUACUCUUGGACAGCCUUCUGAAAGGAAGAUUAAUACAAGAUGGCAUCAUGAGUUCACAUGUUCACAUGAUUAAAGGUAUUCCGGUAGACGAUGGGGAUGCGUUCCAUUAGAUAGUAGGCGGGGUAACGGCCCACCUAGUCUUCGAUGGAUAGGGGUUCUGAGAGGAAGGUCCCCCGCAUUGGAACUGAGACACGGUCCAA
RNAcentral lists this ribosomal RNA (236 nucleotides) under uncultured bacterium. Its description in RNAcentral is "partial 16S ribosomal RNA". It matches the Rfam family "Bacterial small subunit ribosomal RNA", at positions 100 to 334 of the family's 1533-position model. The record is from RNAcentral.